CCCAGACUCCUACGGGAGGCAGCAGUGGGGAAUAUUGCACAAUGGGGGAAACCCUGAUGCAGCGACGCCGCGUGAGCGAUGAAGUAUUUCGGUAUGUAAAGCUCUAUCAGCAGGGAAGAAAAUGACGGUACCUGACUAAGAAGCCCCGGCUAACUACGUGCCAGCAGCCGCGGUAAUACGUAGGGGGCAAGCGUUAUCCGGAUUCACUGGGUGUAAAGGGAGCGUAGACGGCGACGCAAGUCUGGAGUGAAAGCCCGGGGCCCAACCCCGGGACUGCUCUGGAAACUGCGGCGCUGGAGUACGGGAGGGGCAGGCGGAAUUCCUGGUGUAGCGGUGAAAUGCGUAGAUAUCAGGAGGAACACCGGCGGCGAAGGCGGCCUGCUGGACCGUGACUGACGUUGAGGCUCGAGAGCGUGGGGAGCAAACAGGAUUAGAUACCCUCGUAUGA
This 448-nucleotide ribosomal RNA is filed under the name uncultured bacterium. RNAcentral's name for it is "partial 16S ribosomal RNA". It matches the Rfam family "Bacterial small subunit ribosomal RNA", at positions 330 to 794 of the family's 1533-position model. The record is from RNAcentral.